Non-coding RNA from Manis javanica (Malayan pangolin), 817 nucleotides. The record is from RefSeq and is a predicted model, not a curated record. Lineage: Eukaryota; Metazoa; Chordata; Mammalia; Pholidota; Manidae.
UCUGUCCCCAGGAGUGCCAGCCUGAGGACACGUGAGGGCUUGAAGGGUGCACGGGCUCCCAGGAUCGCCUCCCUCUGCUCCCGUCCUCCUCCACAGGCUGACCUCGGGCCGCAGGCCCUUCCACUAAGGGCCCUGGUUCUGCAGGGGAAGCAGAGGGACCCGCCCUCCCAAGCCGGAGCCACCGCGGCACCCGCCCCAGCAGAGGCAGCCAGGCGCGGACACUGAGGAGCCCACCGCACCGACUGCUCGCAGCGCUUGGCACUGGAGUAGGAGACCGCGUCAGAGGCCUGUGGGGAGGGCCUGCCUGCCCGCUGCCGGCAGCCGGUGUCGCUGUCCAGACAGAGCACAGGAUACAGCGAGGGCGGCGGGAAAGCUGGCCUCAUAUUCCAGCCCAGACCCUUUCCUUGGACAGUGUGCAUCUCCUAGGCCUCACUCAGGUCAAGGUCAAAGGUCCAUGUGGCUUGGUACCCGUGGGUUCCUGGGAUUCAGGUGUGGACACCUUUGGGAAGCUCUUGUCUGCCUACCACAGGCACCACAGAAGCCAGUGUAAUGAGGGCGAAAAGUAUGGGCCAGGGAAGGGUAAGGAGGCCUGAGCUCACACUUACUCUGCCACUUCAUGCUGAGGUGACUGGGCAAGUGACUUAACCUCUCUGUGUUUCACUUGUCUCAUUCAUUCCACAACUAUGUGUGGAAUUCCUGCGGGGUCUAAGUUGGGGGAUAAAGCAAGGACUCUUCCUCUCAUGGACAUUAUUUCCUGUGGGAGGGUCAUGGAAUCAACAUAUAAAAUGUCAGGUGGUGGGAAUAAUUAUUAUGGAGA